This is a long non-coding RNA of Mugil cephalus (flathead mullet), 3041 nucleotides long. RefSeq lists it as uncharacterized. The transcript has 3 exons. Lineage: Eukaryota; Metazoa; Chordata; Actinopteri; Mugiliformes; Mugilidae. The record is from RefSeq and is a predicted model, not a curated record.
GAAAGCCACUGUGCCCCAGCAGCCUCCUAAAGACCCUCUGCUGCAGCUGAUCUCCCUCCAGAAGGCCUCUGGCUCCUGGCUGCUGGAUCCAGCUCUGGCUGCUGCACUGGGGAAGACCAGAGAGGAGGUGGAAAAGUCAAAACCUGCACAGGUCAGUGAGGAAGUGUGGGCCACCAUCCUGGCUCUGAUCUGGCUUCAUGGUUUCAAGAUGGAUUCAAAGGAAGAGUGGGAGCUUCUGGCCAUGAAGGCUGCAUCUUGGCUCAAUGCUCAGAACAGUACACCAUGUGUGACCGAGUGUGUGGAGGCUGGUAAUGUACUAACUGGGGUUGCAACAUGCAAAGAAACGUCUUGGGGAUUUGAGGAUUUGACUGAAACAACGCUGACACAGAAGCAUACUUACCUGUACCUACCAUGUACCUGUGUGCAGUGGUGCUGCAUUAUUUUAUUAUUGUCUGUCAGCAUGAAUUUGUUGCCACAUACAGUAGCUGUGUAAGAAGCUGACAAACAUUAUCAAUGAGCUGUUUUAGUUUCAUCUCUGUACACAUCCCCCUGCUCAGAAUGAUGUAUGUGCAGUCUGACACUAUUGGUUCUAACCUUAAAGGGUUCGAAGUUUCAGAUGUUUCAGAUCAUCCCACAGAUACUUGAUCAGUUUGGGAUCUAGUGAAUUUGGAGACCAGGUCAACACCUUGUGGUGUUCUUCAUGUUUUUUUUUUUUUCUUUUCUUGUUGUUGUUCUUUUUGAGUUGUUCCUGAAACGUUUUGUCUGUGUCAGGCUGCUGCCAUCAAGAAGUGUCGGUGCUAUGCGUUUUUUGCUAAGUAAUGUCCACAUGAAUACCAGGUCCAAAAGCUUCCCAGCAGAACUUUGUCACAAGGUCUCAUCUCAUCUCAUCUCAUUUCUGCUACUGCUUAUCCUAUUGUCACAAGAUGAUCACUGCUAUUUCCUUCUCCUGUUGGUGGUCAUGGAUGAUGGAACAUGUAAGCUGCUGACGGGGGAUCUUUUAUUUGUGCAGCUAUGAAGCAGCUGUGUUUUUUCCAAUGUUGCAGAUUGUUACAGAUUAUAUCUAAAUACAGAGAAACUAAAUAUUUAGCUAAUAUACUAGUUGACGCUGCCGUUCAGCGGAAGUACCAAAAGUUGAGCAGUGGGACCGGCCACUGCGUCGCUGUUGAAGGUUAAGUUACUCUCUCAGUGCUGCCCAUCACUGACUGUAUGUUUCUGAACGUUGGAAGAAGUUCCGAACCACUACAGCAACGAUAAGUCUGUCCUCCAAAUAGCUUGGAGCUAAAACUAUGUAGCUAAAACUAGCAGCAGAUGUAGCCGAGUCUUUGCUGGAUUGGUUAGCGACCAACGUGCAAAACGCGUUUGUUUUGAUCCUGCAGCACCAUACUGUUUGCUGGACAUUUGCAAUUCACAUCAUCUUAAAGUUAAUACUACUGGACAGAAAUGUCAACUCAGAGCUUCACCACCACUGCACCGGAGUCGGUGACAUCCACUGUCAGCACACUUAAGAAACUCAACAAGCUGUGCUUUUAAUCUUUGACAUGUUUCUACUAGUAGCUAUAUAAACACCAAUAUUUAUCUAUAAACAGCGUUUUAUGGUUUUAAUGUAUGGCUAUGUAUUAGUACAUUUUAAUUCAUUUUCAGGUUCCUGUGAGGAAUGAAGUGCUACAAUUAAAUAAAUAAAUACACCACUAAAUAAUUACUUAAAUGUGUCAUUAAUUAAUUAAAAUUGGCCUUAAAUAUAUAAAAAUAUCAUUAAUGCAUUAAAAUUGGUAUUGAAUAUAUAAAUGUGUCAUUAAUUCAUUAAAAUGCCAAUUCAUUUAUGUAAAAAACAUAUAUCACUAUUUCACUAUUUAAUUAAUUAUUUCAUGGUCCUGUGUCGCAGCGCAUCAUGGAUUUAUUUUAUCUAUCAAACUCAUUGCUUUGGUCUGAAGUAGCAUGCUCGGAGACAGACAUGGAGGACCUCCAGGACCUCUGAGGGAGUUGGUUAGAGAUAUUUUACACUACCCAGAGCAUGUAACGAAUAAAGUUGUGGAAUGUCUUGAAGCUUUUGGACUUAUUUCUGCACUUUUCAACCAAGAUACUGACGACAGAGUGACAGCAAAUUUAGAAGAAAUACUCGAUCGCUUCUGUGGUACCAGGGGCAGGGUGCAACAGGCACAGUAAACCUGACCCUUAACGUAACCCUAAACCAAAUAAUAACCCUCUAGAAUAACUAAUGCUCCCCCCAACAUUAAAUAUGUUUUUUUUUUUUUACAUGAAAUGAAUAGGUAUUUAAUUAAUUAAUUAAUGACACAUUCAAUAAAACAUUUAUGUAUUUAAUUCCAUUUUUAAUUAAUUAUUUAAUGGCUUAUUCAUUUAUUUAAUUGUGGCACUUUUAUUCCUCCAUACCUGAAAUGAACAUGAAAAAAAUUAUGUAUUUAAUUAUUAUUUUUUAUCUUUCAGGCACACCUGACCAGUUAAAUGACCAAUUAAAUGCAGUGUUAAGGAUUCAUGAAGUAACUUUUGUCCUGUUUAUAUCUUUAACACCGGAAUAUAAUUGUGUGAUUGUUUACUGACAUCUUACUCAUUCCUGUACACAUUUUUUGUGUUUUGGAGCUAAAUGUGGGAAAAGUUGCAUGCUCAUUUUAACAUGCGCAACUUUGCAAACGGCACCCCAUAUGUGGUGGGGGUUAUGGUGGUCUUCAUCCCCGUGUAGCUGUUGCUGGUCAGGGCCAGGCUGGGCCUCUCCAAGGUUAUCCUGAGUGGGUGAAGGGCUGUGGAAUACGGUCAGAUUUCCUUCACCUCUCUGCAGUUGGAGGAGAGCCAGGCCAGAGCGACCAGCAUCUGACACAACCAGAGACACGCUCCAGACUGACUCUUUGCAAACAGGAGAACAGUUAGACUGAACUCGUGCCGCAGAGCAGGAUGGUGGGGAUGUGUCAGCAUCCUAUAGGAGAAAAUGUGUCAUGUGUAAUGUGUCAAGAAAAAUCUUCGAUCAAGUGUAGCAACUCAUAAUGUAAUAAUGACUCAUAAUGUAAUAAAAUCAUGAGCCUAUGACGUAA